Molecule: ribosomal RNA, 410 nt
Filed under: uncultured bacterium
Lineage: Bacteria
Description: bacterial SSU rRNA
Rfam family: Bacterial small subunit ribosomal RNA
Source: RNAcentral
UAACACGUAUCCAACCUGCCGCUUACUCGGGGAUAGCCUUUCGAAAGAAAGAUUAAUACCCGAUGGUAUAAAGAGUUCGCAUGUUCUCUUUAUUAAAGAAUUUCGGUAAGCGAUGGGGAUGCGUUCCAUUAGAUAGUUGGCGGGGUAACGGCCCACCAAGUCUACGAUGGAUAGGGGUUCUGAGAGGAAGGUCCCCCCACAUUGGAACUGAGACACGGUCCAAACUCCUACGGGAGGCAGCAGUGAGGAAUAUUGGUCAAUGGACGAGAGUCUGAACCAGCCAAGUAGCGUAGAAGGAUGACUGCCCUAUGGGUUGUAAACUUCUUUUAUAAGGGAAUAAAGUGAGGGACGUGUCCCUUUUUGUAUGUACCUUAUGAAUAAGGAUCGGCUAACUCCGUGCCAGCAGCUGC